RNAcentral lists this transfer RNA (56 nucleotides) under Rattus norvegicus (Norway rat). The record is from Rfam by way of RNAcentral. Lineage: Eukaryota; Metazoa; Chordata; Mammalia; Rodentia; Muridae.
GGGGAUUUAGCUCAGUGGUAGAGCGCUUGCCUAGCAGGCCCUGGGUUCAGUCCCCA